GGUGGAUGCCUUGGCGAUUACAGGCGAUGAAGGACGUAGUAGCCUGCGAAAAGCUACGGGGGAGCUGGCAAACGAGCUUUGAUCCGUAGAUAUCCGAAUGGGGAAACCCGGCGCGCAAGCGUCACUCCCACCUGAAUAUAUAGGGUGGGUAGAGCGAACGCAGCGAACUGAAACAUCUAAGUAGCUGCAGGAAAAGAAAUCAACCGAGAUUCCCAAAGUAGUGGCGAGCGAAAUGGGAAGAGCCUGUAUGUGAUAGUCAACUGGUUAGUGGAACGGAAUGGAAAGUCCGGCGAUAGAGGGUGAUAGCCCGUACACGAAAACUGGUUGGUGGUACUGAGCAUACGACAAGUAGGCGGGGCACGAGAAACCUUGUCUGAACAUGGGGGACCAUCCUCCAAGGCUAAAUACUCGUAAUCGACCGAUAGUGAACCAGUACCGU
RNAcentral lists this ribosomal RNA (439 nucleotides) under uncultured bacterium. Its description in RNAcentral is "bacterial LSU rRNA". It matches the Rfam family "Bacterial large subunit ribosomal RNA", at positions 23 to 504 of the family's 2925-position model. The record is from RNAcentral.